RNAcentral lists this ribosomal RNA (424 nucleotides) under uncultured bacterium. RNAcentral describes it as "partial 16S ribosomal RNA". It matches the Rfam family "Bacterial small subunit ribosomal RNA", at positions 359 to 776 of the family's 1533-position model. The record is from RNAcentral.
UAUAUUUGACAAUGGGCGAAAGCCUGAUGCAGCCAUGCCGCGUGUUUGAAGAAGGUCAUCUUAUUUUAAAGCACUUUAUGUUGGGAGGAAGGGGUUGAAGCUAAUACCUUCAAUCUUUGACGUUACCAACAGAUUAAGCACCGGCUAACUCUGUUCCAGCAGCCGCGUUAAAACAGAGGGUGCAAGCGUUAAUCGGAAUUAUUGGGCGUAAAGCGCGCGUAGGUGGUUCAGUAAGAUGGAAGUGAAAUCCCCGGGCUUAACCUGGGAACUGCUUUCAUAACUGCUGAGCUAGAGUACGGUAGAGGGUAGUGGAAUUUCCUGUGUAGCGGUGAAAUGCGUAGAUAUAGGAAGGAACACCAGUGGCGAAGGCGACUACCUGGACUGAUACUGACACUGAGGUGCGAAAGCGUGGGGAGCAAACAGG